Molecule: long non-coding RNA, 2055 nt
Organism: Antechinus flavipes (yellow-footed antechinus)
Lineage: Eukaryota; Metazoa; Chordata; Mammalia; Dasyuromorphia; Dasyuridae
Exons: 4
Source: RefSeq, a predicted model, not a curated record
GAGAUUAAGUGAAUUCCUUAAGUUCAUACAAAUAGUAAGUGAAUGACAGGAAUUUGAACUUGGGUUUUCCUGAUUUCAAAUCCAAUUUUUCUUCACUACAGCACAACCUCAUAGACUUGUCAAUGCAAAGAGCCCUCUCUUUAGGCUUGUAAAGAAAACUACUGGAAAAAAAUCAAGUUAACAGUCAUUUGUUAAAUAUUCAAUAUGUCAUAGCCAUUGUUAAAAACAUUGAAGAUAAAAAGAAAUAUAAAUCAGUCCCAGUUCUCAAGGAACUCACAUUCUAAUAGAGGAAAACCUGUUAAGAACUAGGUACAUACAAGAUAUAUAGAAAUAGUAAAUGGAAAAUAAGCUCAGAGGGAAAGAAGAAAAAGCUGGGGUACUGGAAAGGACUCACACAAAGAGAUGGAAUUUGAAUUAAAUCUUGAAGAAAGUCAAUGAAACUAAGAGGUAGAAAUGAGGAACAAGAGGAUUCCAGGUAUGGGAGAAGGUUUGUUUUAAACUAUGGGAGAAUAAAAAUGAAGAGAGUGCUAUGUGAGAAAAAGUGAGUUGAUCAGAUUAUUGGAUUAUACAGUGCAUAAAGGGUAAUAAAAUGUAAGAAUACAAAAAGGGUUGAAAUGGUUGUGAAAAACUUUAAAUGCUAGAAAAUUUUGCAUUUCAUUUUGGAGGUGCUACCUAAAUUUAGAAAGAGAAAGACUCUGUGUAUCCUUAUGUAUAUGAAUUUAUUAAAUAUUUUGUAAUUUCAGAAUUUUGCUCAUAAAAAAAUUAGUGGCAACUAAGAUAGAUUGGAGUAUUAAUGCAAAGAGAUCAUUUAGAAAGCUGUUGAAAUCCAGCUAAAAAGUAUUAAGGACCUAAACUAAUGUUGUGACUGUGUAAAUGGAGGAAAAAAAGUGUGGUGUAAUGUAUAAAGAGAUUGCUUGGAUGUCAGGCUGACUUGAGAUGAAGUUCUUUUUCUGAUAUAUACUGGCUAUGAGAUAUAGCUAAGUGACUUAGCUUCUCCAUUCCUUGGCAACCAUUUAAGUUUAUGAAUUAGAGAUAAAUUUUCAGUAUUAAUUAUACAGGAAGGGAAAAGCUAUGCCAAUGAAAUCACAAUUCUGAUCAAAAAAAAAAAAAACCACAAAUAAAACUAGAUGCUUAUUUACUUUAAAAUUUUUAUUUAUCACCAAAAUUUAAGUGAGAAAUACAUUGCCAGGGUUUCUCUUAAGUAUGUUAUUUAAAUUUUGAAGUGACUUGAAUUAUUCAGAUAAUUCUUUUAAGAUAUCCUACAUUUAUAAAAGACAUCAGUGUUAAGGGACAGGUCAAUUCUCCAAGAACCUCUAGAGCUGUGGAUCAUAACAUCUGAAGGAGUUGCAAGGCAGCCUUUGCUGACACAGGUGUUGCGGAUUGGGAAUGAGAUAAAUUGGAGGCAGAGGGAAGAAGAGAGAGGAAAGACAAUGGAAUAGUCUCUCAAUCAGAGAACAACUGCCUCUCAGUCUAUUACUUCCACUUCAUCCUAAUUCUCAAGGCAACAAUUAUAACCACUUUAAGAAAAAGGAUAAAUACUAGAAUGCAUAUUUACAGAAGUCAAGAAUUUGCAGUUCCUUUUCCUUUGACAUUAACCACCAUCCCAUGUGAAACAACCACUGAAUAUGCCACAGAAAUCUAUAGUGUGGAUAAGUGAUCAUAACUUCAUCGAACCCCAGAACUGAUCCUUAUUCUUAUCAGGUGAUAUUACCUUGUUGGAUCACAUGUUGAAGGCCCAGACAUUUUCAACUUGCUGAAAUGAUCAGAAGCAUUGAAGAUUUACAUUGAUAUUAGUAAAAGAAGAAUUCAACUAGCCAAAGUCUUUACUCAUCCAGUUGGCAGUUCACUGAAGAAAAGAAAAAGUUGUUACUUCUUAAAAUUAGAAAAAAAAAUGAGAAUAUAUGAUCUGGGAGAUACUUGUUUUAAUUCUCUGUGAAACAAAACAGCUGACUUUUUUGGAUGAGUGUUAGCACCCAAGUAACAGAUAGUGUUAAUUUCAAUAAAACCUUACAUCAUUCACUAAGAUGAACAUGAUUAGUCUAUAAUUUAGGCAUU